This 218-nucleotide small nucleolar RNA is filed under the name Gossypium hirsutum (cotton). RNAcentral's name for it is "Plant small nucleolar RNA U3". It matches the Rfam family "Plant small nucleolar RNA U3". From Rfam's summary of the family: Small nucleolar RNAs (snoRNAs) are involved in the processing and modification of rRNA in the nucleolus. There are two main classes of snoRNAs: the box C/D class, and the box H/ACA class. U3 snoRNA is a member of the box C/D class. The record is from Rfam by way of RNAcentral. Lineage: Eukaryota; Viridiplantae; Streptophyta; Magnoliopsida; Malvales; Malvaceae.
ACGACCUUACUUGAACAGGAUCUGUUCUAUAGGUUCGCACCUCUGUAUCCUUGAGUCUCAAAGGAGACAGGAUACUAUGUCUGGGUGAUGAAUCGAGACUCUGUGAUCUGAGCGUGAUUGAUGGUGCGGUGAUUCCUUGCUGGUCUACCUUAGCCGCAGAGGAUCGUUCUCAGCUUGCCUUGUCUAGCUGGGCUGGUCACACGGUUGUUUGACAGACC